UACCGCAUACGUCCUACGGGAGAAAGCAGGGGACCUUCGGGCCUUGCGCUAUCAGAUGAGCCUAGGUCGGAUUAGCUAGUUGGUGGGGUAAUGGCUCACCAAGGCGACGAUCCGUAACUGGUCUGAGAGGAUGAUCAGUCACACUGGAACUGAGACACGGUCCAGACUCCUACGGGAGGCAGCAGUGGGGAAUAUUGGACAAUGGGCGAAAGCCUGAUCCAGCCAUGCCGCGUGUGUGAAGAAGGUCUUCGGAUUGUAAAGCACUUUAAGUUGGGAGGAAGGGCAGUAAAUUAAUACUUUGCUGUUUUGACGUUACCGACAGAAUAAGCACCGGCUAACUCUGUGCCAGCAGCCGCGGUAAUACAGAGGGUGCAAGCGUUAAUCGGAAUUACUGGGCGUAAAGCGCGCGUAGGUGGUUCGUUAAGUUGGAUGUGAAAUCCCCGGGCUCAACCUGGGAACUGCAUUCAAAACUGACGAGCUAGAGUAUGGUAGAGGGUGGUGGAAUUUCCUGUGUAGCGGUGAAAUGCGUA
RNAcentral lists this ribosomal RNA (530 nucleotides) under uncultured bacterium. RNAcentral describes it as "bacterial SSU rRNA". It matches the Rfam family "Bacterial small subunit ribosomal RNA", at positions 167 to 692 of the family's 1533-position model. The record is from RNAcentral.